GAGUUUGAUCAUGGCUCAGAGUGAACGCUGGCGGUAGGCCUAACACAUGCAAGUCGAACGGCAGCACAGUAAGAGCUUGCUCUUAUGGGUGGCGAGUGGCGGACGGGUGAGGAAUACAUCGGAAUCUACUUUUUCGUGGGGGAUAACGUAGGGAAACUUACGCUAAUACCGCAUACGACCUACGGGUGAAAGCAGGGGAUCUUCGGACCUUGCGCGAUUGAAUGAGCCGAUGUCGGAUUAGCUAGUUGGCGGGUAAAGGCCCGACCAAGGCGACGAUCCGUAGCUGGUCUGAGAGGAUGAUCAGCCACACUGGAACUGAGACACGGUCCAGACUCCUACGGGAGGCAGCAGUGGGGAAUAUUGGACAAUGGGCGCAAGCCUGAUCCAGCCAUACCGCGUGGGUGAAGAAGGCC
RNAcentral lists this ribosomal RNA (413 nucleotides) under uncultured microorganism. RNAcentral's name for it is "bacterial SSU rRNA". It matches the Rfam family "Bacterial small subunit ribosomal RNA", at positions 9 to 416 of the family's 1533-position model. The record is from RNAcentral.